Molecule: non-coding RNA, 834 nt
Organism: Vicugna pacos (alpaca)
Lineage: Eukaryota; Metazoa; Chordata; Mammalia; Artiodactyla; Camelidae
Source: RefSeq, a predicted model, not a curated record
CAUAGUGCCUGAGGAGAAGGAGAAAUUGCUAAAGUGGGAUGGAUGAUGUGCAGCCAAAGUUGCCUGCAAAACCAGGCUAAGACAUUCAGAUGAAAUACAGUGGGCAUAGGCUCUACCUGGGUGAAGCAGCUGCAGCAUCUUAUCUGCCAGGUUUAAGGCCAACCAGGAAGAUUCCCUGCUUCUUUUCCCAGCAGUCUCAGAAUUGGUUCUGACUGAGUCACUUGCCUAUCCCUCGAUGAGUAACUGACCUGAUGGAUCCUAGAUCUCACAUGCUGGACCUUCAUGGCUCAAGUCAACAUCUUCCUGGAACUGUUCUGUCUGCUGAUGCUGCCCAUGAAACCAGUGUGUUGAGAGGCAGCACUAGGACAAAUACAGCUUCUGGGAAGAAGGUGCUUCUCUUCGUGCUGAACCUUUAUGUUGAUGAGCUUUGCUGUUGCACGUACCUAACUUGUCACUCCAACUCUAUAUCAAUUUCAUAUAUAUAACCAUGUCAGUAAAAAAAUGCACAACAAAUGUUACAGAAUAAAAAAGGAGAAAAGUAAUGGAUUAAUAUUUUUAUUAUGUUGGUGUAGCUUUUGAGAAGAGGAAAAACAUUUAUUUACAACAUGUUGCAGUAAUAAAUAAUUACAUUGCAGUUUUAUUCUCUUGAUUAAUUCUUUAGUUCAAAAACAACUAAAAGAAAAAGAUGAAUUUCAAUUGAAAAAUAUUAUUUAAAUUAAAUACAGAUGAUGUAAAAAUUGCACUCACCAAGCAAAAAAUAUUGCACUGUGCGGUUUUCACUGCUUUAAACUUUAAAUGCAGAUAAAGCUUCCAGUGGUCAUACAGGAUGUCUGA